CAACUGCCCAAGUGGGGUAGAUACAGGCUGAGACAUACUCACAUGCUAUUCACCACCAUCCAAAACUCCAUCACUGCCAACUCAACAAAAAUUUCAACUAUCAGAAAACCCCCCUAUAAUGGAUGCCAAAGAUGAUAUACAUUGUUUGAUCAUCUUCAAUAUGUACAGCCAAAUACUGUCCAGCCGUAUGAAUCGAAAAUCUAUACAUUAGGAAAACUCCACAUU
This 225-nucleotide long non-coding RNA is filed under the name Elaeis guineensis (African oil palm). Its description in RNAcentral is "long non-coding RNA (EGUI_LNC009513)". Lineage: Eukaryota; Viridiplantae; Streptophyta; Magnoliopsida; Arecales; Arecaceae. The record is from RNAcentral.